This is a small nuclear RNA of Schistocerca americana (American grasshopper), 104 nucleotides long. The record is from RefSeq and is a predicted model, not a curated record. NCBI's taxonomy places the organism in Eukaryota, Metazoa, Arthropoda, Insecta, Orthoptera, Acrididae.
UUGUAUGAGGUGCUGAAAAUUACAAAAAAAGGAAAAAAAAGAGAAGAUUUGAAUGGCCCCUGCGCAAGGAUAACACGCAAAAUCGUGAAGCGUUCCACAUUUAA